Chelonoidis abingdonii (Abingdon island giant tortoise) is the source of this 118-nucleotide non-coding RNA. The record is from RefSeq and is a predicted model, not a curated record. NCBI's taxonomy places the organism in Eukaryota, Metazoa, Chordata, Testudines, Testudinidae.
AACUUUAAAGUAGUUUAAACUUGACCUUCGUGUCCUUGUGUGUCUCAGUCUGUACACUGUGUGCAAAAAACCUCAGUGUCCAGAUGAAACACUGGAUUUGAGAUUUCAGAGUGAUGAC